RNAcentral lists this ribosomal RNA (373 nucleotides) under uncultured organism. RNAcentral describes it as "partial 16S ribosomal RNA". It matches the Rfam family "Bacterial small subunit ribosomal RNA", at positions 527 to 896 of the family's 1533-position model. The record is from RNAcentral.
GUAGGUGGCAAGCGUUGUCCGGAAUUAUUGGGGCGUAAAGCGCGCGCAGGCGGUUCUCUAAGUCUGAUGUGAAAGCCCACGGGCUCAACCGUGGAGGGGCAUUGGAAACUGGAGAACUUGAGUACAGAAGAGGAAAGCGGAAUUCCACGUGUAGCGGUGAAAUGCGUAGAGAUGUGGAGGAACACCAGCGGCGAAGGCGGCUUUCUGGUCUGUAACUGACGCUGAGGCGCGAAAGCGUGGGGAGCAAACAGGAUUAGAUACCCUGGUAGUCCACGCCGUAAACGAUGAGUGCUAAGUGUUAGGGGGUUUCCGCCCCUUAGUGCUGCAGCUAACGCAUUAAGCACUCCGCCUGGGGAGUACGGCCGCAAGGCCG